CAGCGGCAGACGGGUGAGUAACACGUAGGUGAUCUACCCCAGAGACGGGGAUAACGGGCGGAAACGCUCGCUAAUACCGGAUGACCUUACCGAGUCAAAUUGGUAAGGAAAGGCUCCGGCGCUCUGGGAGGAGCCUGCGGCCCAUCAGCUAGUUGGCGGGAUAAAGGCCCACCAAGGCGAAGACGGGUAGGGGGUGUGAGAGCAUGGCCCCCCACAAUGGGACUGAAACACGGCCCAUACUCCUACGGGAGGCAGCAGCAGGGAAUAUUGCACAAUGGACGGAAGUCUGAUGCAGCGACGCCGCGUGGAUGAUGAAGGCCCUCGGGUUGUAAAAUCCUUUACAAGGGGACGAGGAAGGACGGUACCCUUGGAACAAGUGUCGGCUAACUACGUGCCAGCAGCCGCGGUAAGACGUAGGACACAAGCGUUAUCCGGAUUUACUGGGCGUAAAGCGUCUGCAGGCGGACAGGUAAGUUGGGCGUGAAAGCUCCGGGCUCAACCCGGAGAGGUCGUUCAAUACUGCGUGUCUAGAGGGUGUCAGAGGGGAGUGGAAUUUCCGGAGUAGCGGUAAAAUGCGCAGAUAUCGGAAAGAACACCAAUGGCGAAGGCAGCUCCCUGGGGCAUACCUGACGCUAAGAGACGAAAGCUAGGGGAGCGAACAGGAUUAGAGACCCUGGUAGUCCUAGCCCUAAACGAUGGAUGCUGGAUGUGGGGCCAUAGCGCUCCGUGUCGAAGCGAACGCGUUAAGCAUCCCGCCUGGGGACUACGGCCGCAAGGUUAAAACUCAAACGAAUUGACGGGACCCCGCACAAGCAGCGGAGUGUGUGGUUAAAUUCGAUGACUACACGAAGCACAUCACCGGGGUUAGACAUCUAGGUGGUAGACGACGUGAAAGGCGGAACGCACCCGUCGGGGAGCAUACACAGCUGCUGCAUGGUCGUCGUCAGCUCCCGCCAUGAGUCGUCGGAAUUAGCUCCCGUGACGAGCACGACCCCCGCCCUCCGUUAUACGUGAUCAGAGGGCUCUCCCGGCGAUACACCCGGAGGAAGGUGGGGAACACCUCAAGUCCGCAGCGCCUUUAUAUCACAGGCAUACACACACGCACACAAUGGCCAGUACAAAGGCUAGCGAAGCCGCGAGGUGGAGCGAAUCCCAACAAAGCUGGUCGU
RNAcentral lists this ribosomal RNA (1169 nucleotides) under uncultured organism. Its description in RNAcentral is "bacterial SSU rRNA". It matches the Rfam family "Bacterial small subunit ribosomal RNA", at positions 93 to 1289 of the family's 1533-position model. The record is from RNAcentral.